Molecule: transfer-messenger RNA, 355 nt
Filed under: Parashewanella curva
Lineage: Bacteria; Pseudomonadati; Pseudomonadota; Gammaproteobacteria; Alteromonadales; Shewanellaceae
Description: Standard tmRNA
Rfam family: transfer-messenger RNA
About the family: Bacterial tmRNA, also known as 10Sa RNA or SsrA, is named for its dual tRNA and mRNA-like properties. Its role is to liberate the mRNA from a stalled ribosome.
Source: Rfam by way of RNAcentral
GGGGGCGAUUAGGAUUCGACAGGAUUCACGAAACCCUGGGAGCAUGUCGAGGGGCGGUUGGCCUCGUAAAAAGCCGCAAAGUUAUAGUUGCAAACGACGAUAACAUCUCUCUAGCAGCUUAGGCUAGCUAGCCAUCCUGCUCACGUUUCUCAAAUGGGCAGAGUAUUUGGAUGGUCAUCUCACAUUUGAUAGCGAGGGAACCUUGUUUGGGGGUGAACCGCGAAACAGUACCAAACUCGCCUGAGAAAAUCCUGUCUUUCGGAGUUUCUUCAGGUUAACCAAUAGAAAGACUAAACAUGUAGCGCCUUGGAUGUAGGCUUUCUGGACGGGGGUUCAAAUCCCCCCGCCUCCACCA